RNAcentral lists this ribosomal RNA (583 nucleotides) under uncultured bacterium. RNAcentral's name for it is "bacterial SSU rRNA". It matches the Rfam family "Bacterial small subunit ribosomal RNA", at positions 75 to 655 of the family's 1533-position model. The record is from RNAcentral.
CUUGCUCCUUGGGUGACGAGCGGCGGACGGGUGAGUAAUGCCUGGGGAUCUGCCCGAUAGAGGGGGAUAACUACGGGAAACUGUAGCUAAUACCGCAUAACGUCUACGGACCAAAGUGGGGGCUCUUCGGACCUCAUGCUAUCGGAUGAACCCAGGUGGGAUUAGCUAGUUGGUGAGGUAAUGGCUCACCAAGGCGACGAUCUCUAACUGGUUUGAGAGAAUGACCAGUCACACUGGAACUGAGACACGGUCCAGACUCCUACGGGAGGCAGCAGUGGGGAAUAUUGCACAAUGGGCGCAAGCCUGAUGCAGCCAUGCCGCGUGUGUGAAGAAGGCCUUCGGGUUGUAAAGCACUUUCAGCGGGGAGGAAGGGUCACUAGUUAAUACCUAGUGGCAUUGACGUUACUCGCAGAAGAAGCACCGGCUAACUCCGUGCCAGCAGCCGCGGUAAUACGGAGGGUGCAAGCGUUAAUCGGAAUUACUGGGCGUAAAGCGCACGCAGGCGGUUUGUUAAGUCAGAUGUGAAAUCCCCGAGCUCAACUUGGGAACUGCAUUUGAAACUGGCAAGCUAGAGUCUUGUAGA